Molecule: unclassified non-coding RNA, 387 nt
Filed under: soil metagenome
Description: partial contains 5.8S ribosomal RNA, internal transcribed spacer 2, and large subunit ribosomal RNA
Rfam family: 5.8S ribosomal RNA (bases 1-120)
Source: RNAcentral
GAUGAAGAACGCAGCGAAAUGCGAUAAGUAAUGUGAAUUGCAGAAUUCAGUGAAUCAUCGAAUCUUUGAACGCACCUUGCACCCUUUGGUAUUCCGAAGGGUAUGCUCGUUUGAGUGUCAUUGUACUCUCACACUUCUAUUUCCUUUCGGGAUUGGGAGCGGUGGACUUGGGUGUUGCUGCUUUAGUUGUGGCUCACCUCAAAUAAGUUAGUGCAACUCUUGGUUGGACAUAGUACGGCGUGAUAAGUGUCUUCGCCGGCGCCUCUGUAAGGAGGGUGGCCGAUCGGGAGCUCUGUGCUUCAAACCGUCUUCGGACAAUCUUUGACAACUUGACCUCAAAUCGAGUAGGACUACCCGCUGAACUUAAGCAUAUCAAUAAGCGGAGGA